Molecule: long non-coding RNA, 707 nt
Filed under: Fragaria vesca (wild strawberry)
Lineage: Eukaryota; Viridiplantae; Streptophyta; Magnoliopsida; Rosales; Rosaceae
Description: long non-coding RNA (FVES_LNC001743)
Source: RNAcentral
ACAACAAUGUUGGAGAAGAAUCCGACUUCAAAAGCCCGCGCCGGUUACCGUGUAGAAAGAUGAGAUCUAGAACGGAGCUCCGACACGAUGGCGACAUCGCCGCUGCCACUGCCUCUCGUCGCUCAUCAUCACCAUCUACGAACCUGUCACAUGCCGCGCUCGUCGGCCAGAUCCACGUCCCCGUCAACGCCGUGUUCAUCUCCGGCAUGGAGCGCCGUCACAGAUCUUGAUGUUAGAGUAAGUCGUAGAUCUAAUUCGGUCGGGGUUCUUGUCAAAUUGUAUUUUUCCUUCUGAGAUCAUCAAAUUGCUCUAUGGUACUAUUGAAUGGGAAGCAUUGCUUCUUAUUGUGAUAGAAGCAUUUGUGACUUGAUUUUGUGACAGGGAUUCAGCUUUACUACAUGCACUAUUGGGACCGCAAUGACCAUAAAAAUCACAGUUAUGAAUGUUGCCACAGCAGCUGUUGAAGUUGCCCUGGAGCACUCAUCCACAUCCUGAAUUUUACUGAGCUGUCCGAGACACUUGUGACAACAUAAACCUCAUCAUCAUCAAAGUCGUAAGAAAGGAAUAACGCCAAUCCACCUAUAUCUGGAUACUCUGUUCUUGUAUCCUUGCCGACGAACACAGAACUUCUACAAUACGGAAGAGUUCCGUUCCAGAUAAAGCCCUGAAGUGGUAAUUAAGGAUCAAUGCCGAAGCUCUGCCACAAG